This 253-nucleotide ribosomal RNA is filed under the name uncultured bacterium. RNAcentral's name for it is "partial 16S ribosomal RNA". It matches the Rfam family "Bacterial small subunit ribosomal RNA", at positions 524 to 776 of the family's 1533-position model. The record is from RNAcentral.
UACGGAGGGGGCUAGCGUUAUUCGGAAUUACUGGGCGUAAAGCGCACGUAGGCGGACUGGAAAGUCAGAGGUGAAAUCCCAGGGCUCAACCUUGGAACUGCCUUUGAAACUCCCAGUCUUGAGGUCGAGAGAGGUGAGUGGAAUUCCGAGUGUAGAGGUGAAAUUCGUAGAUAUUCGGAGGAACACCAGUGGCGAAGGCGGCUCACUGGCUCGAUACUGACGCUGAGGUGCGAAAGCGUGGGGAGCAAACAGG